CAUGCCCAACAGAUGUCAUUUUUGAUACCGUGCACGGAAAUGCGGAGCACCGAUAGUAGCUGGGAACCCAGCCAGGCGCAAGAUGACGAGGAAGAGGACGAGGGCACAACCAUGGACAGUGAGCCCGGACCAUCUAUGGGGCCAAUGAGUCCUCCAGGCCCCCCACCCACUCCGAGUUUGGUGAGCCCCAUGCAGACUGUCCCAGCCGUCCCAGAGGCAAGUCGGCAGCCCCGAC
Long non-coding RNA from Bufo gargarizans (Asiatic toad), 235 nucleotides. RefSeq lists it as uncharacterized. NCBI's taxonomy places the organism in Eukaryota, Metazoa, Chordata, Amphibia, Anura, Bufonidae. The transcript is spliced from 2 exons. The record is from RefSeq and is a predicted model, not a curated record.